Molecule: ribosomal RNA, 253 nt
Filed under: uncultured bacterium
Lineage: Bacteria
Description: partial 16S ribosomal RNA
Rfam family: Bacterial small subunit ribosomal RNA
Source: RNAcentral
UACGAAGGGGGCUAGCGUUGCUCGGAAUCACUGGGCGUAAAGGGUGCGUAGGCGGGUCUUUAAGUCAGGGGUGAAAUCCUGGAGCUCAACUCCAGAACUGCCUUUGAUACUGAGGAUCUUGAGUUCGGGAGAGGUGAGUGGAACUGCGAGUGUAGAGGUGAAAUUCGUAGAUAUUCGCAAGAACACCAGUGGCGAAGGCGGCCAACUGGACCAUUACUGACGCUGAGGCGCGAAAGCGUGGGGAGCAAACAGG